AAGAACAUUGGGCUAUAUUACUGAGAAGCAGGGUCUGUUGAGAUAAACAAUGCAUAUCCACAUUUUUUCAUCCUUAUGGAGUAGCUUCAAGUCAGAGUUCAUUUUAAUUUUGGAGAUUCUUUUCAGUUGGAGAUGACUCUACUAUAAAUUUAUGGAAUGACAGAUGGUUUGAUAAACAAUCUUUGGCUCAAGCGUUACCCAUACCUGUCAAUCUUCAUCAGUUUGCUUCAAGUCAGAGUUCAGUUUAAUUUUGGAGAUUCUUUUCAGUUGGAGAUGACUCUACUAUAAAUUUAUGGAAUGACAGAUGGUUUGAUAAACAAUCUUUGGCUCAAACGUUACACAUACUUGUCAAUCUUCAUCA
Molecule: long non-coding RNA, 361 nt
Filed under: Trifolium pratense (red clover)
Lineage: Eukaryota; Viridiplantae; Streptophyta; Magnoliopsida; Fabales; Fabaceae
Description: long non-coding RNA (TPRA_LNC000971)
Source: RNAcentral